GAAGUUCGCCAGGCAGUCGCUGUGCACCUCAGGGUGCGUGGAGGAAAGUCCGGGCCCCGCAGAGCAGGAUGCCGGCUAACGGCCGGGCGUCGUGAGGCGACGGAAAGUGCAACAGAGAGCAGACCGCCGAUGGCUU
This 136-nucleotide RNase P RNA is filed under the name Betaproteobacteria bacterium HGW-Betaproteobacteria-19. RNAcentral's name for it is "partial RNase P RNA component class A". It matches the Rfam family "Bacterial RNase P class A", at positions 1 to 138 of the family's 367-position model. Rfam says of the family: Ribonuclease P (RNase P) is a ubiquitous endoribonuclease, found in archaea, bacteria and eukarya as well as chloroplasts and mitochondria. Lineage: Bacteria; Pseudomonadati; Pseudomonadota; Betaproteobacteria. The record is from RNAcentral.